AGCAGCCGCGGUAAUUCCAGCUCCAAUAGCGUAUAUUAAAGUUGUUGCAGUUAAAAAGCUCGUAGUUGAAUUUCGGGGUUAAUAGGUUGGUCGUGCCACUGGUACGUACUGGUCUCACUGAUUCCUCCUUCCUGAUGAACUGUAAUGCCAUUAAUUUGGUGUUGCAGGGAAACUGGACUGUUACUUUGAAAAAAUUAGAGUGUUUAAAGCAAGCUAACGCUUGAAUACAUUAGCAUGGAAUAAUGAAAUAGGACGUUCGAUCCUAUUUUGUUGGUUUCUAGGAUUGACGUAAUGAUUAAUAGGGAUAGUUGGGGGCAUUAGUAUUCAAUUGUCAGAGGUGAAAUUCUUGGAUUUAUUGAAGACUAACUACUGCGAAAGCAUUUGCCAAGGAUGUUUUCAUUAAUCAAGAACGAAAGUUAGGGGAUCGAAGACGAUCAGAUACCGUCGUAGUCUUAACCAUAAACUAUGCCGACUAGGGAUCGGAUGAUGUUAAUUUUUUAGUGACUCAUUCGGCGCCUUA
Molecule: ribosomal RNA, 520 nt
Filed under: uncultured Glomus
Lineage: Eukaryota; Fungi; Glomeromycota; Glomeromycetes; Glomerales; Glomeraceae
Description: SSU rRNA
Rfam family: Eukaryotic small subunit ribosomal RNA
Source: RNAcentral